UGAGCAACCUGCCCUUGGCUUCGGGAUAACCUUCGGAAACGGGGGCUAAUACCGGAUAUGACCAGUGCCUGCAUGGGUGUUGGUGGAAAGUGUGUCGGCUGGGGAUGGGCUCGCGGCCUAUCAGCUUGUUGGGUGGGGGUGAUGGCCUACCAAGGCGUCGACGGGUAGCCGGCCUGAGAGGGUGAUCGGCCACACUGGGACUGAGACACGGCCCAGACCUCCGUACGGGGAGGCA
RNAcentral lists this ribosomal RNA (235 nucleotides) under uncultured bacterium. RNAcentral describes it as "partial 16S ribosomal RNA". It matches the Rfam family "Bacterial small subunit ribosomal RNA", at positions 118 to 350 of the family's 1533-position model. The record is from RNAcentral.